AAGUCGUAACAAGGUCUCCGUAGGUGAACCUGCGGAGGGAUCGUUAAAGAGUGAAGGCCUUCGGGCCGACCUCCAACCCAUUGUAAUUCAACCUGUGUUUGCCUCGGGGUCGUUGUAAUUACCUCUUCGCGGAGGUUCCCCCGGUGGACCACUUAAACUCAGCUUUAUACCUGCAGUCUGACUACUAUUGAUGAAAAUCAUAACAAAA
RNAcentral lists this unclassified non-coding RNA (208 nucleotides) under plant metagenome. RNAcentral's name for it is "partial contains small subunit ribosomal RNA and internal transcribed spacer 1". The stretch from base 1 to 46 matches the Rfam family "Eukaryotic small subunit ribosomal RNA", at positions 1786 to 1831 of the family's 1831-position model. The record is from RNAcentral.